GGUGCUACUGUGUAGUAAACCAAGUAGAGCGAAGCGCAGCGCGAGAGUACCUGCUACUUUCCACUUGCUACUUUCCACUAUGCGCGGUGCGGUGAAGCAAACCCACCGCUCUUGACGCCCCUACUGUAUAUCUGUUGCGGUUAUCCAUCGCUGUGUGCACUUGGCUACAGUUGUAGUUCUUAAAGGUGUUUGAAUUCGACUCUCGUAUAGGCUACCCAUUUUAAUGAAUGUAUGGGAUUGCCCCAACGUUUAUUUUCAAAUAAUUUACGUUUAAUGCAAGACGUAUAGUUUCUUCAUGGCGUCUCAACAGCAGUCAAGAAUUCAGUCGUAUCUGGAGAAAAAUAAAAUUGGACCGCUGUUUGAGGAGAUGAUGACCAGUCUGAUAAGCGAGACCCCAGAUCACCCUAUUCCUUUUCUCAUCAAUCACCUGCAGACCAAGCAAGGCAGCCCCGGCAAGCUGCACAGGACACUGUCGGGCUCCGCCGCACUGUGGGCCCAGAGCUCUGCAGCAGAGAGUAAAGGACGUCGUGACUUCAGGAGUUAUGAGAAGCCCUGGCAGAUCCAUCCUAAGAAACCCAAGAAGUCUAAGAGUGAUCUGGCUGUGUCUAACAUCUCCCCUCCCUCACCAGAGUCCAAGUCCCUGCCGCGGUCCAUAGAGCACCCAUCGUGGGAGUGGAGGGAGAGCAAAGACUUUGAUGAGCUCAACCACAUCCUGCAGGAGAGCAAGAAGCUGGGCAAGGCUCUGGAGAACCUGUCACGCAGUAUCGCUGCUUCUGAUGAACUUGAUCAGAACCUUGGGGGGUAUAACUCAGUGCUGCGGCCUAGGGUUGUGGGGGAGUGGGUGGGCAGGCAGGAAGAGGAUCCAGACCCCCUGGCAGCAGAGAUGCUCCAGCCCCCAGUCCCAAGGAACAAGACUGAGGUGUGGGGGAGGGCCAAUAACAGCCCUGCCUUGAGUGUGAAGAUGGAGGGGAAGAGUAAAGGGUUGAAGCAGCAGCAGCAGCACCACAAGAAGCUCCUGGCGGCCAUGUUGUCCCAGGAUUCCUUUGACUCCGCCCAUAGCUCCGCCCCCUCACUCACCGAGGAGGAAAUAGAGGAUGAGGAUGAUGCCAUGGAACUGUUGGAGGACCUAGAUGACCUGCGUAUGGAGGGGGUAACAGGGCUGGCCCCGUCAGGAAGUAAGUUCAGUCAGGGUCGUAGUUCCUACCUCCCAGAGCCCCAGGCCAAGGUCACACUCAACAUCUGCUCAAGGUGUGCAAGGCUGCAGGGGGACAGUCUGUCAGAUGCCAGUAGACCAGAAGAGGACCAGCACCAUGGACCCUCCCAGCAUGGAUCACCUCAACAUGGACCUCUCCAUGGAACUUCUCAUCCCCUGCUCCCAGAGCAUGCUGCUGUCAACAUGCCUGAUGGAAAUGGGCCUCGUGGACCCCCCCAUCACUUACAACCUGUGCCUGAUAUCUCCUGUUGUUUUCCCGGGGUGGACACAGCGCCGGUACGAGACCAGGAAUGCGAGAGUGUGUCUCAGGUCUCUUUCCCACGUCAGGCAGUCUGGGAGGCUGAUGUGAAGGUGGUUAAAGGAGUAGGAGGAGGGAGCUCGUCCAGGGAGCUGCUGGGACAGACGGGGGGACUGCUGCUAAGUGACUCCCUCUUCUCUAAAGAACUAGAAAACAUGGGCAAACACCUCGCUGAGGUGGAGAAGGACCUGGCCAAACUGGCGGAGCAGGGGAAACUAGCCCAGCGGAGCCCCAACAGCCCCCACAGUAGUCUGCUCCUCACCCCUCUGUUCCACACCUCCCUCCCGGGGGGAACCCUCCCCAACACUCUACCCUUACCAGGCCAGACCUCCAGACCCCCCUCCAGACCCCAGUCCCCCGUCCUCAGCGCCCGCUCAGCCAAGCCCAGCUCCAUAGGCUACCCCCUGGUCAGCCCCAAACUUAGCCCUCUGCUCACCCGGAAACCAACCUCCCUCACCAUGACGACUGGUCACAGAACUCAUUCUCCCAGCAACCCCGGCAGCAGAACUACAACUCCUAGAACCCCCAGCAGCAGGCCCAUGACCCCCAACAGCCUGCUGACCUCCAGGUCGGCCAUGACGGCCGUGACCCCAGGGGUUGGAGGUCAUGGGGGUCAUAAGGAGGUGACGUUCAGGAGGUCGAGGAGCAGACCGGUGACCCCCACCAGUCAGCCGACCCGACCCAGGCCCCUGCUCACCCCUCCUGGGCUGAGUACGACAGAUAGUCUGGGCAAGGCCUCCAGCCUCAGGGCCUAUCUGUCAGAGGAUGAGUUCUACCAGCAGCUGCAGGCCAUCAGACAGCCAUGGCACAUUCCCAGUGACACAGAGAGUGACCUUCUGGAACCACCUGAGCAGGACAAGUAAGGAGAGUGCAUAUCCACACAUAGCCAACUUCUUCAGUGUGGGUGGAUUAUACAACUACAGUGUGGGGUACGAGAUGCCAAUAAGAGAUCCGUGUUCUCAGGCCUAUAGUGAUGAAGACCAGAGAGAGAGGCAUUGAUCCAAUCAAAUAAUUAUGCAAACCACUGGGUAUUUUCAAUAUUGUGUACAGAGACCAUUAUUUUUUAUAAUUCACUCAGUGAGGAAUAUAAAAAAAGAUUGUAUACUUUUUCCACAGAGGUUGAUAUUUCUGAGACCAUGUAGCACCAAGAUGUGUGAACUAUUGUCAAAAAUAGGACAACUUUAGAGUAUGAACUAUGAAAUAUAACUGAAUAUUUCUUUGUGCUUGCUAUUUUAGCAUGCUUACGUCUUUAAAGGAGUUGAAAGAAAAAAAAGCAUUUUGUUGUUUAACACAUUUUUUUCUUGAAGCUAGAAGCAUACUUUGAAACAGUAGCACCUGUACUGUACUGUACUGUACUGUACUGUAUAGAGCCAAUCUCUGGAUAGGCACUUAAGGGCUGGUUUUUUUUGGCUUUCAAGGGAAUAAAAUAAUGGAGCUUUGAUUCACCUUGGAUUGAAGAUUAUUUUCCCCCACACUACAUUACAUGUAGCCUGAUCCCAGAUCUGUUUUUAUUUCAAACCUAAAGCUCCAUUGUUUUCAAAAACAGUAGCUGGUAUGCAGGCUUUCGUACAGAUACUCACCUUGAUUUGAAAAGGACAUCCUUCCUUCUUUUGCACCAAAUUUAGUUCAUUCUAAAUUCUGUUCAUUCUAAAUUCUGUUCAUUCUAAAUUCUGUUAAUAACUUGAAGAGUGUUUCUUCACCACACCAUGGGUCUGUUCAGGAGACUGUGACAUAAGAACUUGCCCCUGGUAAGGGAAGUCUUGAAUCCCGAUUCCUCCUUCCAGGAUUUCUUGGGAAAAUCUAGACAUUUUGGGAAAGGUAACAAUCCUGGUCUACACUGUUAUGUUGAUCUACGACUGUUCCUUUUGUAGCUCUGAGUUUUGUUAUACUUCUGUUGACAUGCAAAUACUUACAAAAUGGAUAAAAGAUUGUUUCUUUUUUAUGCACUGACUGAACCAUUGAAUAAAAACCUGGAAGUGA
Oncorhynchus mykiss (rainbow trout) is the source of this 3491-nucleotide non-coding RNA. Lineage: Eukaryota; Metazoa; Chordata; Actinopteri; Salmoniformes; Salmonidae. The record is from RefSeq and is a predicted model, not a curated record.